This is a small nuclear RNA of Nomascus leucogenys (northern white-cheeked gibbon), 104 nucleotides long. NCBI's taxonomy places the organism in Eukaryota, Metazoa, Chordata, Mammalia, Primates, Hylobatidae. The record is from Ensembl.
UUGCUCACUUUGGCAGCAUGUAUACUAAAAUUGGAAUGAUACAGAGAUUAGCAUGACCCCUGCAUACCGAUGAUGUGGGAAUUUGUGAAGCGUUUCAUAUUUUU